Molecule: ribosomal RNA, 596 nt
Filed under: Vibrio sp. AR6
Lineage: Bacteria; Pseudomonadati; Pseudomonadota; Gammaproteobacteria; Vibrionales; Vibrionaceae
Description: bacterial SSU rRNA
Rfam family: Bacterial small subunit ribosomal RNA
Source: RNAcentral
GUCUCUUGGAGUGUGGCCCUUGAGCCGUGGCUUUCGGAGCUAACGCGUUAAGUAGACCGCCUGGGGAGUACGGUCGCAAGAUUAAAACUCAAAUGAAUUGACGGGGGCCCGCACAAGCGGUGGAGCAUGUGGUUUAAUUCGAUGCAACGCGAAGAACCUUACCUACUCUUGACAUCCAGAGAACUUUCCAGAGAUGGAUUGGUGCCUUCGGGAACUCUGAGACAGGUGCUGCAUGGCUGUCGUCAGCUCGUGUUGUGAAAUGUUGGGUUAAGUCCCGCAACGAGCGCAACCCUUAUCCUUGUUUGCCAGCGAGUAAUGUCGGGAACUCCAGGGAGACUGCCGGUGAUAAACCGGAGGAAGGUGGGGACGACGUCAAGUCAUCAUGGCCCUUACGAGUAGGGCUACACACGUGCUACAAUGGCGCAUACAGAGGGCGGCCAACUUGCGAAAGUGAGCGAAUCCCAAAAAGUGCGUCGUAGUCCGGAUUGGAGUCUGCAACUCGACUCCAUGAAGUCGGAAUCGCUAGUAAUCGUGGAUCAGAAUGCCACGGUGAAUACGUUCCCGGGCCUUGUACACACCGCCCGUCACACCAUGGG